UGGUCAUUGACGGGUCAAAAGACGCAACGAGGAAGAGCAUCGGAGCCAAUUAAGCGAAACUGCGUCGCGGAUUUGCUCGAGUUCGUCUACUCUUUCCAUUCGAAGUCAGUUUUAAAUCGCGUUAAUCGACGAACCGCCAAUUCGGUCAAAGGACACAUUCUGCUUUUAUUUGUGAUCAAUUCGCGAUCGAUGUUACCUCUUAGGCUUCGUCAAGUAACAUCACGUUGAAACGGAAGUUACGGUAUUAGUUUUCGUAGGACUUUCAAAUAGGCAACACAAUGAAGAUAACAACAAUCAAAAGCUGCGAAGAAACGAGACACGUAUUCGCGGAUCAGUGGAUUCAAAUUCAAUGUCUUCUUAAGCCCGAUAUAAUCAUCGCGCUUUGAAUGGACCUCAACGAUGUGGAUUCGACGCUAUUACCAGUUUCUCUGCAAAAAUCUCAACAAUGCGUAACCUGGUUGGAACUUGAGGCACACGUGCAUAAAACUCUUGAAAAUAUCUAGGGUAUUGUGUUCGACCAGCGCAAAGAGUUUCCCAAGAAUUACGCCGACCAAUGCUGAAACGCUUCAUAGAAAUCGGAUGCGUACUCGUUUGCACGGACAUGAUCGCGUCCGCCACAUCGACGAGCAUCGAUCACUCGGCCAGCUAUCAGAAUUCGGCCAAGAAAGUGGACGUCGGAAAGGCGUCGGAAUUCCCCGGUAAUAAGAGCUCGCUGAAGAUGUUGGAGGACAUCACGGCGAAAGUCUGGAGAGUUUUGCCGGUCGUCGAAAUUCCUCGGAAUUGGGUGCUCGCUUACUGUAUGAAGCAAACGGAGAUCUUCGAACAAGUGGAAAAAGCCGGUAUGCAGUGCCAGUACGACGGUAUGGACUGGGAUUGCACGUUCAUCGAAUUGAACAUUUGAAUUCUGAGGAGCAAAAUGAACUGGAUCGACUACAUUUAACAGUGACAACGAAAACACGCGACGAUUUAGAAGAAUAUCCGUUAAAUGAAGAACGAACGGAGUUAACUCGUCUCCAAGAAGUCGGAUUAUGCAUAUCACGGGAAACUGCAAGAGCCUGCGAAUCCAUUGUCCUCGACGCCGUCGAAAAAUUAAUAUGAAGAAAUAUAUGUAUACAUAUAACCUUGAAAUAUGAAAUAUCUCAGAAAGUUUUGCCGCCUAUCGUAACAAACGAACAAACAAACAGAAACUCUCACGACGAAUAAGCAUCUAUCUUCAAAAUACCGCGUGACAGCAAACGAUAGCGUGAAAAUAAAAUCACAACAAAUGACAUGAAUUAUUUGACUCACUGAAUAUACAUACCCUGUUCUAAAUGCUACUACAAUAUUGCUUUCGUCACGCCUGCUUUCUUGACAAUCUUCAUUGCUUUCAAUUAAUCGUGUCUGGACAGCGUCAACAAAUUACACAAUUUUGUGGAUAAAAUUUUGAAAUACUCGCAUAUCAAUAAUGAUCGUCUCCGUAACAGGUGCGAAUGUAUUUUUCACACAGCUAAUACACGUGUAAAUAUCAAAUAUCUGUGUAAAUAUCAAAUAUCUGUGCUAUCUUGUAUACAUACGAAGAUUGAGUACGUAACAUGGAUUUAGGAUUGGCAUUAAUGUUAUCAAUAAUUGACGUUUACCAAAUCAUAAGUGUACCCGUUCAGAAUAUGUACACUGGCAUUGAUAAAGCUGACACGAAUCUUGUUCAAGCAUAUCCUAUACUUGUACCAUCGAACUUGGUAAAUAAGUAUGUGUACAACACCGUUUAUAAUUAUUCGCACGACUUUAAACAAUUAAAUGAUGCAACAUUAUGCACACUAGAUAAAAUCAUUCUAUAUUGCAAGCCUGCAGACAAUUUGAUUGCCUGCAUUUUAUAAGAUCUGCAGUUCUAGGAAUUACAUAGCUUACUGCCUGAUUCAUCUAACAAGCUUCAGGUGUAUAUAAACCUGUUAUACAACAAAACAUUUUUUUUUUAAGUAACGUAGGUAUGCUUUCCUUGCAAAAACGAAAUAAAUUGUACAAAAUUCUCUUGUUCAAAUAAUUAUGGACGGUAUUGUAUAAUGUAUAAAAAAGGACAUCAUCCGGUUACAAAGGAUUAAAAACGUAUUGCAUCUCAGGAUUAAAUAAUUUGAAAAAAUAUAUUUUUUGUCGUACUUAACACUGAAGAGAUUCGUAUGUAAUUUAGUAGAGAUAUUUUUCUGUUGAAUCGCUAAUUUAUGACUUUCACGAAUAAGCAACGUAUCGUGUUUGCUAUUAAGCAUUUCGGAUGUAAAUUGAAUCCUUCUGCAAGAUCAUCUGAACGUUUCGUCAAUGUUACCAGAAUUGAUAUACAGAUACCUAUUGUUAUUUGAUCCCUCGACGAAGCUAAGUAUAAUAUUAACGAAACGGUGAGACAUUCUUAUCAAACAGAGGCUAAAGCCUCAACGACCCAUAGCGUAAUCACACCCACGCGAAUGCAAAUAUUUCUUUAUUUGUGUAAAUAACAGCUACAAUAUUUGCUAGGUAAUUCAAAUCUGCUUGAAGGACACGCUUUUUCUUGAGAAAUUACUUGACAAUGUGAACGAUUGCGAUAGUUAUACUUGCAUGUUCUCGAAAAUGAUCGAGAACGAGUCAAUGAAAUCCAUCUCUGCUAUAAUAAAAAACGAUACAAUGGACAACGGUAUUCAGGGGUUUAGACAAACAGUACAAGAUUGUGUAUUGUGGUGGAAGCUAUUCAAACGCUUCAACAAGAACGCAAAUCCUCGACAUGAACUGGGCAAAUGUUUGUUUCAAACAACUUCGACUAAAUGUAGAGAACCAGUUCUAGAUAAAAUUAAAUUCUUACUAAGUCCCACUAAAGAAGAAUGAACAUAUUGUUUGGAACAACGUAAAACUUAAAAAUAAUGGAACGCGGAUGGAAUGAGUAAUGUUAUUACAUAAAAACAAUGCAUGAUAAGGUAAUAAACAACUAUAUUUCUGUAUAAAAUGGAACAAAUCGCAUACACAUAGUCAUUCACAUUCUUAAUUUACUUCUUUCGUUAACGACAAGAAGAAAUAACAAUCUAAUUAGU
Molecule: non-coding RNA, 3026 nt
Organism: Megalopta genalis
Lineage: Eukaryota; Metazoa; Arthropoda; Insecta; Hymenoptera; Halictidae
Source: RefSeq, a predicted model, not a curated record